This 484-nucleotide ribosomal RNA is filed under the name uncultured bacterium. RNAcentral's name for it is "bacterial SSU rRNA". It matches the Rfam family "Bacterial small subunit ribosomal RNA", at positions 15 to 518 of the family's 1533-position model. The record is from RNAcentral.
GAUCCUGGCUCAGGACGAACGCUGGCGGCGUGCUUAACACAUGCAAGUCGAACGGGAGUAUUGAAGAAGCUUGCUUAGAGAUACUUUAGUGGCGGACGGGUGAGUAACGCGUGAGGAGCUGUCCUAUGCAGGGGGACAACAGCUGGAAACGGCUGCUAAUACCCCAUAAGCCGAGAGGUAAAGGGAUCAAUCCGGCAGAGGAGGUACUCGCGCCCGAUUAGUUAGUUGGUGGGGUAAUGGCCUACCAAGACUGCGAUCGGUAGCCGGACUGAGAGGUCGAACGGCCACAUUGGAACUGAGAGACGGUCCAGACUCCUACGGGAGGCAGCAGUGGGGAAUAUUGGGCAAUGGGGGGAAAAACCCCUGACCCAGCAACGCCGCGUGAAGGAAGAAGGCCUUCGGGUUGUAAACUUCUUUGAUCAGGGAAGAAACAAAUGACGGUACCUGAAAAACAAGCCACGGCUAACUACGUGCCAGCAGCCGC